Molecule: ribosomal RNA, 164 nt
Filed under: Astragalus vesicarius subsp. albidus
Lineage: Eukaryota; Viridiplantae; Streptophyta; Magnoliopsida; Fabales; Fabaceae
Description: 5.8S ribosomal RNA
Rfam family: 5.8S ribosomal RNA
About the family: 5.8S ribosomal RNA (5.8S rRNA) is a component of the large subunit of the eukaryotic ribosome. It is transcribed by RNA polymerase I as part of the 45S precursor that also contains 18S and 28S rRNA.
Source: RNAcentral
AGAAUGACUCUCGGCAACGGAUAUCUAGGCUCUUGCAUCGAUGAAGAACGUAGCGAAAUGCGAUACUUGGUGUGAAUUGCAGAAUCCCGUGAACCAUCGAGUCUUUGAACGCAAGUUGCGCCCGAAGCCAUCAGGUUGAGGGCACGUCUGCCUGGGCGUCACAA